CCGUAGCUCAACGGAUAGAGCAUCUGACUACGGAUCAGAAGGCUAGGGGUUCGAAUCCCUUCGGGC
This 66-nucleotide transfer RNA is filed under the name uncultured Corynebacterium sp. It matches the Rfam family "tRNA", at positions 5 to 66 of the family's 71-position model. Rfam says of the family: Transfer RNA (tRNA) molecules are approximately 80 nucleotides in length. Their secondary structure includes four short double-helical elements and three loops (D, anti-codon, and T loops). Lineage: Bacteria; Bacillati; Actinomycetota; Actinomycetes; Mycobacteriales; Corynebacteriaceae. The record is from RNAcentral.